CCUACGGGAGGCAGCAGUGAGGAAUAUUGGUCAAUGGACGAGAGUCUGAACCAGCCAAGUAGCGUGAAGGAUGACUGCCCUAUGGGUUGUAAACUUUUUUUAUAAAGGAAUAAAACGAGGCACGUGUGCCUUUUUGCAUGUACUUUAUGAAUAAGGAUCGGCUAACUCCGUGCCAGCAGCCGCGGUAAUACGGAGGAUCCGAGCGUUAUCCGGAUUUAUUGGGUUUAAAGGGAGCGUAGAUGGGUUGUUAAGUCAGUUGCGAAAGUUUGCGGCUCAACCGUAAAAUUGCAAUUGAUACUGGCAGUCUUGAGUACAGUUGAGGUAGGCGGAAUUCGUGGUGUAGCGGUGAAAUGCUGAGAUAUCACGAAGAACCCCGAUUGCGAAGGCAGCUUACUAAACUGUGACUGACAUUGAUGCUCGAAAGUGUGGGUAUCAAACAGGAUUAGAUACCCUGGUAGUC
This 460-nucleotide ribosomal RNA is filed under the name uncultured bacterium. Its description in RNAcentral is "partial 16S ribosomal RNA". It matches the Rfam family "Bacterial small subunit ribosomal RNA", at positions 338 to 795 of the family's 1533-position model. The record is from RNAcentral.